AUUGAACGCUGGCGGAAUGCUUUACACAUGCAUGUCGAGCGGCAGCACGGACUUCGGUCUGGUGGCGAGUGGCGAACGGGUGAGUAAUGUAUCGGAACGUGCCCAGUCGUGGGGGAUAACGUAGUGAAAAUUACGCUAAUACCGCAUACGCUCUAUGGAUGAAAGCGGGGGAUCGCAAGACCUCGCGCGAUUGGCGCGGCCGAUAUCAGAUUAGGUAGUUGGUGGGGUAAAGGCCCACCAAGCCAACGAUCUGUAGCUGGUCUGAGAGGACGACCAGCCACACUGGAACUGAGACACGGUCCAGACUCCUACGGGAGGCAGCAGUGGGGAAUUUUGGACAAUGGGCGAAAGCCUGAUCCAGCCAUUCCGCGUGCAGGAUGAAGGCCCUCGGGUUGUAAACUGCUUUUGUACAGAACGAAAAGGUUUCUACUAAUACUAGGAGCUCAUGACGGUACUGUAAGAAUAAGCACCGGCUAACUACGUGCCAGCAGCCGCCGUAA
RNAcentral lists this ribosomal RNA (500 nucleotides) under uncultured bacterium. Its description in RNAcentral is "partial 16S ribosomal RNA". It matches the Rfam family "Bacterial small subunit ribosomal RNA", at positions 30 to 523 of the family's 1533-position model. The record is from RNAcentral.